GGAAGAAUGAGGGGGCAGUCGAUUGGCUGCAAAAGGAGGCUGGGGAAGCUUAAUAGUGAUAACAACAGUUACCAUUUAGUGGGCAUCUUUUCUAUGCCAACACUACUGUAAAGGCAAUAUUCAAAUCAACGCCCUAUAGGUGAAGAAAUCGAGGCCCAGAAAGUCUCAGUUCAUCAGAGACUGAGCCCCGAGACCAUCACCCAAGAGGUUCACCCUCAACAGACGGGUUCCCUAAAUCCUGCCUUGUGCUCAAGAAGGCUGAAUGCAGAGGUAUCCAUGCCAAGACUGCACUAAGAGAGUUCCAGCAACCUCUUUGCUAACUCUGCUUUACUGCUUGGGAACACAUCAAUUGUCAAAAUUCCGUUAGGAAAUGAAGUGAUGUUGGCCUGGUUCCUCUCAGCUACCCUGGCUUCCUCCAACGGAGAGGGACAGCAGUCACCCCCUGUCAGAAAGCCUGGCCUGAGAUGAAGGAAAGAACUGCCAACACAGUGGGGUGCAGGAGAAGCCAGAGGCCCACCUGCCCCAAAUUACCUACCUCCUUGGGCUGCUUCUGUGCUCGGAACUCCUGCCACUGGCUUCUCUUGCCCGGAUCAAGGCCCAGUCAGAAACAUGAAUUUGUGAGCUGAGGAUUCACUUUGGGCAGGAGUACCAGCAGCUUUCUUGACAAUCACAUGGGGAGAGCCAGUUGGAGGAAUGAAACCUUAUAGAGACAAGAUGAGCAGAGAGGUAGAGAAAGAAAACCAACUGUGAUGAGCCCCUUGCUCCAGUGUGCCUCAAGCCACCCGUAUCUCUGGACCUUCCAGUUACGUAUUUUCAAACCUCAAAAUGAAGAGAGGAAGUUGGAGUGAGUGAACCCAGAGUUCAGACAGCUACACCUCCAGCUCCCACCUGUGCUGACCAGCUCCUUCCCUGCCUCCUGCCCACACACCUCCAUCUGACUGGCUGCCAUAUUGGGCUGGGAAGAGAGAAAGGGGCAGAAGAGGAGAGAAUAAGGAAAAGGUAUUGCCUGGUGACCUUGGCCUUCCUUGGAAUGGACAGCUGGAAUAAAUACUAUCCAGAGAGCCUGCGGCUGUGGGUCCUGUCAAGCCCACCACACCCAGCACCACAAAUGCCAGCCCCCUGCAGGAACUCUCUGAGCACUUUGUGGGUAUCCAUCUCCCAGAUGACUUUCAGCCCGGUCUUGCCCACCUGGUCUCAACCUUAACUGUUUACCUGGGCUGGUCUCUGAGCAGAAUCCAUGGCUGCCCUCAAAUCAGGUUACGGCCACAGCCUCUGGGUAUUGACUCAUUCAAAGAUUACAGCAGCAUUUCUGUGGAACAUCAGUCUCCCGGGCUCCUCUCUGCAAAGGUUUGCACAGUCAUGCUCCUUUGGGAAAUGCUGCCAGUUACAUCCCGCUCUUGGAAAUUUGCAAUGCGCAUCCACGUAAUAAAUGCUGUUGAACCAAGCAGUCCUGGAAUAAAGAAAACCUCCUUAACUCUGUUUAAGCCAAGCUUCCAAUCUUAUUUUAUGAUUGUAUCAGGUAGGAUACAGCUGCAAGUGACAGAAACUCUGACUCAAAACUGAGAUAAACAAUAAGGACAUGGGUCCUUCACAAACCAGACGCUCAGCAAGGUAAAGCAGGUUUUGGAGAUUUCUCCUCCAGUUUUUCUGCUCUGGCGUUCUCAGUGAUGGCUUCCUCAUUAGGCCGAUCAAGACGGCAGUUCCAGGCAUCACAUUCAGGGCUGACACAUGGCAGAGGAAGAAGAGAGAGCAUUUCUUCCUGAGAAGAAACUCUCCCACAAGGACCGUGACAUCCAUUCAGGUCUCAUUGGCCAGAAUCACAUCACGUGUCCACUCCUGAGUCAGUCAUUGGCAAAAAGAAUGGCGUUUCCCUCUGACCAUUCGCCCUGAAGCUGGAGGUGAGUCAGCUUCCCUGAAGCAGGUGGCUGCGUGGAGGUGGAAUAUAUUCCUGAACAAAACUGGAGCUCUGUUGGGAAGGCAGCGCAGAAUGGGCAGGCAGUCAACAGUGUCCACUCCAACUGCAGACUCCCUUUCACACUUAACACCCUGUGAUGGCCAAUUCUAUGUGUCCACUUGACUGGUCCGCAGGGUGCCCAGAAAUUUGCUCAAACAUUAUUCCGGGCGUGUCUGUGACGGUGUCUCUGGAUGAGAUUAACAUCUGAAUCGGUAGACUGACUAAAGCGCAUUGCCUCCCCAAUGUGGGUGAGCUCAUCCAAUCCGCUGAAGACCUGAAGAGAAUGAAAAGACUGAGAAGUGAACUCCUCCUGCCUGACUACCUGAGCGAUGACACUGGUUUCUCCCAGUGUUUGAACUUUAAACAUCAGCUCUUCUUGGGUCUCCAGCUUGCUGACUGCAGAUCUUGGGACUUAUCAGCCUCCACUUCCUGAGAAUAAGUCUUUUCUUUUUACACAUAUAUACACAUAUGUGUAUGUGUGUGCAUGUUGUUGUUGUUCCUCUUUGAGACUUAGCACAAUAUGUGGUACUUGACUAGUGCUCAACAAAUGCUCGCGAAUGACUGGCUGACUGAUCUUCAUACCUAAGGAAACUGAAAUUCCGACAGGGUGAAGUGAGAAGCACAAUAUCACGUAGAAAGGAAGUGCUAGAACUUGGAACCUGGGUCUCCUGACUUCUGAAAUCAGGAGCUCUGCAUGACACCUAGAGGUUGCAUCCCACCAUGUGACAGCAUUCCUGUUACUCAGGUCAACAAACUUUUAUUGAACACCUAUUAUGUGCCAGACACUCUUCUGGGGAUCCAUGAUGAAGAAGACACAAUCCCUGCCCUCAAGGUAACAGAUUGCCUUCCCCUGGACCAAAGCCUCCAGCUGGCCUCCCUGCAUCCAGGCUUCUGCUCCUCCCAUCCAUCCCUCAGGGCACCACCAGAAUGACUUCUUGGUUUACAUGCUUCAAAAGCGAUGGCUUCCUGGGAAUAAUGUGCACACUCCUGGCCUUCCAUUGUGGUAACCCAUCCAUAAUCUAACUUCUCUUACCCACACAGACUCACAUUUGACCACUGGCCAACUCAACCUUUCUCACUGUGGGGACAAGACUGCUCACUGCCCCACAAACCACACAGCAGACUUCUUUCCAUCUCCACACCUUUGCUCCUUUGGUGCCUCCCAGCUGACAAACUUUCAUCACUUCUCAACUUGUAACUGGCAUGACCUACUUCAUUAGCUUGGAGUACAAGCAUAUUCACUUUUUCUUCCUCAAUUAAACCCUUGGAGGUCUUACAUGUUUCUAUUAGAAUUAUAUUUCCAUCUUUAUGAUCUCCUAAAAUUUGUACAAGAGUCCCACGAGCUUUCUA
Equus caballus (horse) is the source of this 3304-nucleotide long non-coding RNA. The record is from Ensembl. NCBI's taxonomy places the organism in Eukaryota, Metazoa, Chordata, Mammalia, Perissodactyla, Equidae.